CACUUGAACCGGGCAGGCAGCGACUUG
RNAcentral lists this non-coding RNA (27 nucleotides) under Cricetulus griseus (Chinese hamster). Lineage: Eukaryota; Metazoa; Chordata; Mammalia; Rodentia; Cricetidae. The record is from RNAcentral.